UCCCUGGUGGUUCAAUGGUUAAGACUCUGUGCUUCCACUUCAGGGGGCACAGGUUCAAUUCCUGGUCCGAGAA
This 73-nucleotide transfer RNA is filed under the name Bos taurus (domestic cattle). It matches the Rfam family "tRNA". From Rfam's summary of the family: Transfer RNA (tRNA) molecules are approximately 80 nucleotides in length. Their secondary structure includes four short double-helical elements and three loops (D, anti-codon, and T loops). Further hydrogen bonds mediate the characteristic L-shaped molecular structure. tRNAs have two regions of fundamental functional importance: the anti-codon, which is responsible for specific mRNA codon recognition, and the 3' end, to which the tRNAs corresponding amino acid is attached (by aminoacyl-tRNA synthetases). tRNAs cope with the degeneracy of the genetic code in two manners: having more than one tRNA (with a specific anti-codon) for a particular amino acid; and 'wobble' base-pairing, i.e. permitting non-standard base-pairing at the 3rd anti-codon position. RNAcentral also lists the same sequence under 4 other names. The record is from Rfam by way of RNAcentral. Lineage: Eukaryota; Metazoa; Chordata; Mammalia; Artiodactyla; Bovidae.